AGCAGCCGCGGUAAUUCCAGCUCCAAUAGCGUAUAUUAAAGUUGCUGCAGUUAAAAAGCUCGUAGUUGAAUUUCGGGACUAAUAUGUCGGUCGUGCCUCGGUACGUACUGGCUUAUUGGUUUCUCCUUUCUGAAGAACCAUGAUGUCAUUUAUUUGGUGUCGUGGGGAAUCAGGACUGUUACUUUGAAAAAUUAGAGUGUUUAAAGCAGGCUCACGCUUGAAUACAUUAGCAUGGAAUAAUGAAAUAGGACGUUUGAUUCUAUUUUGUUGGUUUCUAGGAUCGACGUAAUGAUUAAUAGGGAUAGUUGGGGGCAUUAGUAUUCAAUUGUCAGAGGUGAAAUUCUUGGAUUUAUUGAAGACUAACUACUGCGAAAGCAUUUGCCAAGGAUGUUUUCAUUAAUCAAGAACGAAAGUUAGGGGAUCGAAGACGAUCAGAUACCGUCGUAGUCUUAACCAUAAACUAUGCCGACUAGGGAUCGGAUGAUGUAAUUUUUAAUGACUCAUUCGCGCCUUAAC
Molecule: unclassified non-coding RNA, 516 nt
Filed under: uncultured Glomus
Lineage: Eukaryota; Fungi; Glomeromycota; Glomeromycetes; Glomerales; Glomeraceae
Description: SSU rRNA
Rfam family: Eukaryotic small subunit ribosomal RNA
Source: RNAcentral